UUCUUGAUCUUAAAAUAAGAAGUAAUUCCUGCCCAGUGACAUAGUUCAACGGCCGCGGUAUCCUAACCGUGCAAAGGUAGCAUAAUCACUUGCCCAUUAAUUGUGGGCUAGAAUGAAUGGACUAACGAAAUAAAGACUGUCUCUAUAAGUUGAAUAAAAAUUAAUCUCUAACUGAAGACUGUUAGAUAAUAUCGAAGGACAAGAAGACCCUAUAGAGCUUUAUUUAAACAAAAAAAAAUUAUAUUUUUGUAAAAUUCGGUUGGGGCGACCAGGGAAUUUACAUCAUCCCUUAUUAUAAGAUAAAUAAAUCUAUUUUUUUGACCCUUAUUAAAGAUCAUCAGAACAAGCUACCUUAGGGAUAACAGGCUAAUCCUACUAAAGAGUCCUUAUCAAUAGUAGGGGUUGGCACCUCGAUGUUGGCUUAGGGAAUCUAUGUGGCGCAAAAGUCACAUAAAGAUGGUUUGUUCAACCAAUAAUACCCUACAUGAGCUGAGUUCAGACCGGCGUAAGCCAGGUUAGCUUCUAUCCUCGAUAAUUUAAUCUAUUUAUAGUACGAAAGGACCUAAAUAAGAGUAAUAAUUACUUAAUAAUGAAAGUAUAUAAUAUAAAAUUAACCUUCUAACCACAAAAAUUAUG
This 636-nucleotide ribosomal RNA is filed under the name Eiseniona oliveirae. Its description in RNAcentral is "partial 16S ribosomal RNA". It matches the Rfam family "Bacterial large subunit ribosomal RNA", at positions 1820 to 2827 of the family's 2925-position model. Lineage: Eukaryota; Metazoa; Annelida; Clitellata; Crassiclitellata; Lumbricidae. The record is from RNAcentral.